GUCUAUAUGAAUAAAAUAUAUAGUCUAACCUGCCCACUGAAAUGAAUUUUAAAGGGCCGCGGUAAUUUGACCGUGCAAAGGUAGCAUAAUGAGUAGUCUUUUAAUUGAAGGCUGGAAUGAAUGGUUGGAUAAAAGGUAAGCUGUCUUGGUAAUAAGAUUUGAAUUUAACUUUUAAGUGAUAAGGCUUAAAUAUUUUGGGGGGACGAUAAGACCCUAUAAAACUUUAUAAAUAAAAUUUAAUUUCUGAUUUAAGUUUAAAAGUAAGUUAGAUUUAUUUUAUUUCAUUGGGGCGAUGAAGAUAAAAUUUGUAACUGUCUUAGAAAGUAAAUAGAUUUUUCUAGAAUUUGUUGAUCCUUUUUUAAAGAUUAUGAGAUUAAGUUACUUUAGGGAUAACAGCGUUAUUUUUUUUGAGAGUACAUAUCGAUAAAAUUAGUUGC
Molecule: ribosomal RNA, 437 nt
Filed under: Galatheacaris abyssalis
Lineage: Eukaryota; Metazoa; Arthropoda; Malacostraca; Decapoda; Galatheacarididae
Description: partial 16S ribosomal RNA
Rfam family: Bacterial large subunit ribosomal RNA
Source: RNAcentral